GUGCGGAAGAGAUAAGUGCUGAAAGCAUCUAAGCACGAAACUUGCCUUGAGAUGAGUUCUCCCUGUCUUUAAGACAGUAAGGGUUGUUUAAGACUAAGACGUAGAUAGGUCUGGUGUGUAAGCGGUGCGAGCCGUUGAGCUAACAGAUACUAAUUGCCCGAGAGGCUUAACUAUACAACGCUCAAGGGUUUUG
Molecule: ribosomal RNA, 193 nt
Filed under: Parahaemophilus parainfluenzae
Lineage: Bacteria; Pseudomonadati; Pseudomonadota; Gammaproteobacteria; Pasteurellales; Pasteurellaceae
Description: Haemophilus parainfluenzae partial 23S ribosomal RNA
Rfam family: Bacterial large subunit ribosomal RNA
Source: RNAcentral